This 468-nucleotide ribosomal RNA is filed under the name uncultured bacterium. RNAcentral's name for it is "partial 16S ribosomal RNA". It matches the Rfam family "Bacterial small subunit ribosomal RNA", at positions 28 to 507 of the family's 1533-position model. The record is from RNAcentral.
GACGAACGCUGGCGGCGUGCUUAACACAUGCAAGUCGAACGGAAAGGCCCUGCUUUUGUGGGGUGCUCGAGUGGCGAACGGGUGAGUAACACGUGAGUAACCUGCCCUUGACUUUGGGAUAACUUCAGGAAACUGGGGCUAAUACCGGAUAGGAGCUCCUGCUGCAUGGUGGGGGUUGGAAAGUUUCGGCGGUUGGGGAUGGACUCGCGGCUUAUCAGCUUGUUGGUGGGGUAGUGGCUUACCAAGGCUUUGACGGGUAGCCGGCCUGAGAGGGUGACCGGCCACAUUGGGACUGAGAUACGGCCCAGACUCCUACGGGAGGCAACAGUGGGGAAUAUUGCACAAUGGGCGGAAGCCUGAUGCAGCAACGCCGCGUGCGGGAUGACGGCCUUCGGGUUGUAAACCGCUUUCGCCUGAGACGAAGCGUGAGUGACGGUAAUGGGUAAAGAAGCACCGGCUAACUACGUG